UGGAGGCAGCGGUUCAUCGAUC
This 22-nucleotide microRNA is filed under the name Citrus sinensis (sweet orange). RNAcentral's name for it is "csi-miR162-5p". Its record names the gene csi-miR162-5p. The record is from miRBase by way of RNAcentral. Lineage: Eukaryota; Viridiplantae; Streptophyta; Magnoliopsida; Sapindales; Rutaceae. RNAcentral also lists the same sequence under 1 other name.